This 469-nucleotide ribosomal RNA is filed under the name uncultured bacterium. Its description in RNAcentral is "partial 16S ribosomal RNA". It matches the Rfam family "Bacterial small subunit ribosomal RNA", at positions 28 to 507 of the family's 1533-position model. The record is from RNAcentral.
GAUGAACGCUGGCGGCGUGCUUAACACAUGCAAGUCGAACGGUGAACACGGAGCUUGCUCUGUGGGAUCAGUGGCGAACGGGUGAGUAACACGUGAGCAACCUGCCCCUGACUCUGGGAUAAGCGCUGGAAACGGCGUCUAAUACUGGAUAUGUGACGUGACCGCAUGGCCUGCGUUUGGAAAGAUUUUUCGGUUGGGGAUGGGCUCGCGGCCUAUCAGCUUGUUGGUGAGGUAAUGGCUCACCAAGGCGUCGACGGGUAGCCGGCCUGAGAGGGUGACCGGCCACACUGGGACUGAGACACGGCCCAGACUCCUACGGGAGGCAGCAGUGGGGAAUAUUGCACAAUGGGCGCAAGCCUGAUGCAGCAACGCCGCGUGAGGGAUGACGGCCUUCGGGUUGUAAACCUCUUUUAGCAGGGAAGAAGCGAAAGUGACGGUACCUGCAGAAAAAGCGCCGGCUAACUACGUG